Long non-coding RNA from Drosophila willistoni, 601 nucleotides. RefSeq lists it as uncharacterized. Lineage: Eukaryota; Metazoa; Arthropoda; Insecta; Diptera; Drosophilidae. The transcript has 3 exons. The record is from RefSeq and is a predicted model, not a curated record.
GUAAACUACUACAAAUAAAAAUUAACACAAAAAAAAAUGUAGUGAACAAAAUUUAUAUUUUUCGGCAAAAAACCAAGUCAAAAUUAUCGGUUCAAAGGUUGUUUUCCCAUUUGGCAAUCCUUUACAAACAAAAACAACAACAAAACAAAACAAACAUUGGCGAUGUUAAGUAUAAUAUAAUAAUAAUUAUUAUUGUUUGCGUUACACUCCGUCACCAUGUGUUCAAGCCCGGAAAAUUUAUUAAACACUUUUUUUUCCCCCCCUAAGGGGGGGAUGUACGAUAGGUUGAUUGCUUCUCGGCUAUACGAGGCGUAACGGUAUCCAAAAUAUAUGCGAGUGCGUUACAGUUAGGAGAUAUCCAAGUGGAGUUGUCAUUAACGUGUCUGCUAUGCUCAAAUGCACAAGAGAAAUUUAUACAUUUGCUUACUCUUCAUUUCUACCACCAUUCUCAUAAAAUUUCGUAGCAGCACAGCUUUAGAAGGAAAUCAAGGUUGAGAUCACUUAUGUAUGUAACGGGACCAGUUUCUGCGAUGGCGUUACAAUGUUAUUAAAGAUACGAUGUAGUUAAAAAGUCAAUAAUAAAAAAUAAUUUGUCAUCACA